This is a long non-coding RNA of Gasterosteus aculeatus aculeatus (three-spined stickleback), 2296 nucleotides long. The record is from Ensembl. Lineage: Eukaryota; Metazoa; Chordata; Actinopteri; Perciformes; Gasterosteidae.
CAAGCACUGAUUCCUGAAGAGCUGAUUAUAGCUGAUCAGCAACACCUGUGACACCUGCAGGAUGGGUAUAUGAAACCUGCCGUGUGGCUCAGAUCGUAUUUUCUGUUGGUGGCUGAAGUAAUGGGAGCGUUUUGGGCCUUGCUUGUUUUUGUGCUGACUGUCUGGUUCACCAAAGGCUCUGGUUGGCCAGUUGGUGGCACAAAUGUGAAUGGUAAUGGGCCGCAAAGGGCAAUGAGAGAGCUGUCUCCUAAUGAGCCCUCCAUAAAGAAGGCCCUUACGCUUCACCAGUCUGAGUCUGUGUUCCUGCGGAAGUCAAAAGAAGUCCAACUGGAAACUAACGAAGUGGAGGUUAAGGCAUCAGCUGCCUACCUGAAAGCUGUUGAACAUGCGCAUAACGACGGCGUUCCCAUCGGCGCCACGCUGGGCGACUACGGCGGCGCCCUGCUCAACGGCUCGCUGGGCGACUACGGCGGCUACGGCGGCGCCCUGCUCAACGGCUCGCUGGGCGACUACGGCGGCGGCUACGGCGACGCCCUGCUCAACGGCUCGCUGGGCGACUACGGCGGCGGCUACGGCGACGCCCUGCUCAACGGCUCGCUGGGCGACUACGGCGGCGGCUACGGCGACGCCCUGCUCAACGGCUCGCUGGGCGACUACGGCGGCGGCUACGGCGACGCUCUGCUCAACGGCUCGCUGGGCGACUACGGCGGCGGCUACGGCGACGCCCUGCUCAACGGCUCGCUGGGCGACUACGGCGGCGGAUACGGCGACGCCCUGCUCAACGGCUCGCUGGGCGACUACGGCGGCGGCUACGGCGACGCCCUGCUCAACGGCUCGCUGGGCGACUACGGCGGCGGCUACGGCGACGCCCUGCUCAACGGCUCGCUGGGCGACUACGGCGGUGGCUACGGCGACGCCCUGCUCAACGGCACACUGGCCGACUACAGCGGCUACGGCGGCUACGGCGACGCCCUUCUCAACGGCUCGCUGGGCGACUACAGCGGCGCCCUGCUCAACGGCUCGCUGGGCGACUACGGCGGCGCCCUGCUCAACGGCACGCUGGGCGACUCUUUUACUCCAACGAUACCAAACUAAUAAGUUGGGUGGACCUUUUGGGGCACAUUGCUUUAGUUUGUCGUGUAACUUAAGGAUGUUUCUGCUUGUACCGCUGCUUUAAAUAAAAUGUUUGCCUCAACUUUUGGUGAAGAAGCUGAAUUAGUGACUUUCAUUCAUUUGUAAUACUCGUUUGAGGGGUACAAUUUUCUAUUCAAAUACUUUCUCCACAAAGUUCAGGUUUAACGUAAUUUCCAGUUAAAUAUUUUAUCCAAGUCAUGCCUUGAAUAUUGUAUAAUUUCUGUUUGGCUGCAUGGUCUAUCCCGCAAACAUUUGUUGCUGCGCUAGCAUCCUGUUAAGGCUAGUGCAUAGCCAGGGUCAAGUACUCUUCACAGGAAGUCAUGUGAUGACAUUCUGUGACCGUUCUCUUUUGUGAGGUUUGUCAGCGCUUUGUGUACAUGGAGCCUAAACCUGAAUGCUACACGAUACCAUAUUUUGAGGAAGUAUUUUCUAUAUUUUGAAUACAAAAUGGCACAAGUAUUUUGUAUUCGUUGUUAAUUGAAGGGUAUUUUGUAACUUAUAUUUUGAUGUGUUUUUGCCUAUCCCUGCAUAUAACCCAACCAAAAAGUAAAGCAUGCAGGGAAGUUUGUCGUAGAUUUGCCUAAAUAAAGCACCAGGUUGACUGGAUUUUUUUUAAACAAUUGUAGAUUUUUGAGGUUUACUUAGAGUAAUAUCUAAUGCACUUGUGCAAAGAAGACAUGCAGAAAAGAUUUUAGAUAUUUGGGAUUUUGGUCUAAAAGCAACCCUGUUUCAGCUUUUACUUAAUGUAACUUUGUCAGAUUCUGUUUCUUCGAGAUCUCUACCAUCUUUAAAGAACAUAUCCCAUGAUGGUUUCUCCUGUGUCAUGCAUGCUCUGUCGUUCACACUUUCUUUCCGAAUCAGAUGUAUGUAACUGCAGUUGUAAGGUUCAAUAACCUUCAGUGUCCAUUCUGCAUGUUUCUAAGUCGCUCAAAUUUAUAAAGCUUGAGCCCCCUGGGGCUAAGAAAGUCCACAGAGAGGGAGAGAGAGGGAGACAUUAUCUGUGCAAUUUCAAGCUGUGUCCAUCAUGUGGCAGUGUGCAGCUUCUUAGGCGCUACUGUCACAAUGGAACAGAGCCAGUCAAAGUCAGCCUAAUCCCCCACACACACACGCACAGACACUCCAUGUCUGGUUUUUAUCUCUGUGUGCAGCUUGGAGCUUACAG